RNAcentral lists this transfer RNA (72 nucleotides) under Nasua nasua (ring-tailed coati). RNAcentral's name for it is "tRNA-Gln". It matches the Rfam family "tRNA". Rfam says of the family: Transfer RNA (tRNA) molecules are approximately 80 nucleotides in length. Their secondary structure includes four short double-helical elements and three loops (D, anti-codon, and T loops). Lineage: Eukaryota; Metazoa; Chordata; Mammalia; Carnivora; Procyonidae. The record is from RNAcentral.
UAGGAUUUGGUGUAAUAGGUAGCACGAAGAUUUUUGAGUUCUUAAGGUUGGGUUCAAUUCCCAUAAUCUUAG